This 164-nucleotide ribosomal RNA is filed under the name Cirsium arvense. RNAcentral describes it as "5.8S ribosomal RNA". It matches the Rfam family "5.8S ribosomal RNA". Rfam says of the family: 5.8S ribosomal RNA (5.8S rRNA) is a component of the large subunit of the eukaryotic ribosome. It is transcribed by RNA polymerase I as part of the 45S precursor that also contains 18S and 28S rRNA. Functionally, it is thought that 5.8S rRNA may be involved in ribosome translocation. The record is from RNAcentral. Lineage: Eukaryota; Viridiplantae; Streptophyta; Magnoliopsida; Asterales; Asteraceae.
UAAACGACUCUCGGCAACGGAUAUCUCGGCUCACGCAUCGAUGAAGAACGUAGCARAAUGCGAUACUUGGUGUGAAUUGCAGAAUCCCGUGAACCAUCGAGUUUUUGAACGCAAGUUGCGCCCGAAGCCAUUCGGCCGAGGGCACGUCUGCCUGGGCGUCACGC